AGUCUUCUCCCCCGGAGGCCUGGCGGUGGCUACCUCACGCUGGAAGUCAGAACUACAGGGCCGCCGCCACGCAGUUUGUGAUUUCCCAAGGGCAAGGACUGAAUACCCUGCUCAAGAGCCUGGUGCCUGGCAUAGACAAGAAUGCUGAGGAAGAUUCAAUAGCUGUGUUACUCAAAAGCUGAUAUAAAAGUUCAUCUGGAAAAGU
RNAcentral lists this long non-coding RNA (205 nucleotides) under Homo sapiens (human). RNAcentral describes it as "HSALNT0004518". Lineage: Eukaryota; Metazoa; Chordata; Mammalia; Primates; Hominidae. The record is from RNAcentral.